RNAcentral lists this ribosomal RNA (465 nucleotides) under Vreelandella stevensii. Its description in RNAcentral is "partial 16S ribosomal RNA". It matches the Rfam family "Bacterial small subunit ribosomal RNA", at positions 338 to 795 of the family's 1533-position model. The record is from RNAcentral. Lineage: Bacteria; Pseudomonadati; Pseudomonadota; Gammaproteobacteria; Oceanospirillales; Halomonadaceae.
CCUACGGGAGGCAGCAGUGGGGAAUAUUGGACAAUGGGGGGAACCCUGAUCCAGCCAUGCCGCGUGUGUGAAGAAGGCCCUCGGGUUGUAAAGCACUUUCAGUGAGGAAGAACGCCUGGUGGUUAAUACCCAUCAGGAAAGACAUCACUCACAGAAGAAGCACCGGCUAACUCCGUGCCAGCAGCCGCGGUAAUACGGAGGGUGCGAGCGUUAAUCGGAAUUACUGGGCGUAAAGCGCGCGUAGGUGGCUUGAUAAGCCGGUUGUGAAAGCCCCGGGCUCAACCUGGGAACGGCAUCCGGAACUGUCAAGCUAGAGUGCAGGAGAGGAAGGUAGAAUUCCCGGUGUAGCGGUGAAAUGCGUAGAGAUCGGGAGGAAUACCAGUGGCGAAGGCGGCCUUCUGGACUGUCACUGACACUGAGGUGCGAAAGCGUGGGUAGCAAACAGGAUUAGAUACCCUAGUAGUC